GGGGAUAACGUAGGGAAACUUACGCUAAUACCGCAUACGACCUACGGGUGAAAGCGGAGGACCUUCGGGCUUCGCGCGAUUGAAUGAGCCGAUGUCGGAUUAGCUAGUUGGCGGGGUAAAGGCCCACCAAGGCGACGAUCCGUAGCUGGUCUGAGAGGAUGAUCAGCCACACUGGAACUGAGACACGGUCCAG
Molecule: ribosomal RNA, 193 nt
Filed under: uncultured Lysobacterales bacterium
Lineage: Bacteria; Pseudomonadati; Pseudomonadota; Gammaproteobacteria; Lysobacterales
Description: uncultured Xanthomonadales bacterium partial 16S ribosomal RNA
Rfam family: Bacterial small subunit ribosomal RNA
Source: RNAcentral